RNAcentral lists this non-coding RNA (27 nucleotides) under Mus musculus (house mouse). Lineage: Eukaryota; Metazoa; Chordata; Mammalia; Rodentia; Muridae. The record is from RNAcentral.
AGUGUCCCUCUGAGUAAGAACUCUUCC